GCGUCAUUGGCUUAGUGGCAGCAGUUCGUCUGCCUUGUAAACAGAAGGUCACUGGUUCGAUUCCAGCAUGGGGCA
RNAcentral lists this transfer RNA (75 nucleotides) under Haemonchus placei. It matches the Rfam family "tRNA". From Rfam's summary of the family: Transfer RNA (tRNA) molecules are approximately 80 nucleotides in length. Their secondary structure includes four short double-helical elements and three loops (D, anti-codon, and T loops). Lineage: Eukaryota; Metazoa; Nematoda; Chromadorea; Rhabditida; Trichostrongylidae. The record is from Rfam by way of RNAcentral.